UGGGGAAUCUUGCGCAAUGGGCGAAAGCCUGACGCAGCGACGCCGCGUGAGUGAUGAAGGCCUUCGGGUUGUAAAGCUCUGUGGGGAGGGACGAAUAAGUCGUGGCUAACAUCCACGAUGAUGACGGUACCUCUUUAGCAAGCACCGGCUAACUCUGUGCCAGCAGCCGCGGUAAGACAGAGGGUGCAAACGUUGUUCGGAAUUACUGGGGCGUAAAGCGCGUGUAGGCAGCCGCGCAAGUCGGAUGUGAAAGCCCUGGGCUCAACCUAGGAAGUGCAUUCGAAACUGCGAGGCUGGAGUCCUGGAGAGGAAGGCGGAAUUCUCGGUGUAGAGGUGAAAUUCGUAGAUAUCGAGAGGAACACCGGUGGCGAAGGCGGCCUUCUGGACAGUGACUGACGCUGAGACGCGAAAGCGUGGGGAGCAAACAGGAUUAGAUACCCUGGUAGUCCACGCCGUAAACGAUGGGUGCUAGGUGUCAGGGGCUUUGACCCCUCUGGUGCC
This 501-nucleotide ribosomal RNA is filed under the name uncultured bacterium. RNAcentral describes it as "bacterial SSU rRNA". It matches the Rfam family "Bacterial small subunit ribosomal RNA", at positions 355 to 847 of the family's 1533-position model. The record is from RNAcentral.